CUGGUGCGCGGGGCAGGGGUCCUGCUGGGGAGCGUGCAAACGCCGCGUUGGGGUGGAAACCCCGAUUAGAGGCAUUCAUGGAAUUGCUAACGACCUUGCUACAUCCUAAAUCACUCAAGGUGGGGACUGAAGCAGCAGUGGGGAUUUUUUUUGCAUGAAAGCGUUUCCUUUUGCAUGAUCUACUUGGUCUGCAGAGGGUGCAUAAGCAAAGAAGUCACUGGCUUUUUUUGCAGCAACAUCGCACUGUUUGCAAUGAAUUGUUUUGCAUCCAGGAUGGAGGGGGGGAAAAAAAUAUAUAUAUAUAUAUAUAUAUAUAUAUAUUUGCAAAGCAAGCUGUUUCCCACCACCACCCACCCCAGCUCCUCUCUGCAACUUGCAAUAGCUGUUUUUGUCAGGGAGUUUAUCACUGUGAUACCAACCACCAGUAUAACCCACAGUGCCGCAGGGCAGUGCAAAAUCCUGCAUCGGCAGGAAAAGACCCUUUUUGGCUUUUUGGGGUUUUUUUGCACCAGGUCUCCAGCUGCAAGAUCCCUCCAUUGCAGGUGGCGAUUUGGAUGCCGCUGGGGGUUUUUGUCGCGGCCUGGAGCACUGUGCACAGCAGCUACUACUAGUAGGCACCGUGGUCGGCCGCCGUGCAAAAAUCCCCCACUGGUUUUGCACAGGGCUGAGUGGCAUUUUCGGCACACAGACAUCAUAAACUGCAGCGGGAUGAAAUCCCCCGGUGUCGACUCCUUGCACCCUGCAACUGAAAGCAUAAAUCCCCAAAGCAAUUCCCAGGGYGACGUAUAUUCCUUUAUAUCCCUUGCUGGUGGCACGUUCCUUUAUAUUGCAACGUAUUCCUGGCGGACCACCCGUUUUGCAAAGAUUUGGAGGGGUUUAGGGCCUCUCUUAGCAUAGCAGCCCAUGGAUUCCCAGGGGAAAAGAAAAACAUUUUCCAGCAUGGAUUUGCUUUUUAAUGCGCCUCCGGCGUGCACGCACAGAAAUCCCCAUGCAUCUACGUCUGCAUUGGAUUUUUUUUUUGCAGCAGCGUCCAGCUGGCAAAUGCUGUGCUGCAAAUUUUGUACAAUUUCCGAGUGGGGUGCAAUCGCCCUUUGCAAUUUCCGAGUGGGGUGCAAUCGCCCUUUGCAAUUUCCGAGUGGGUGCAAUCGCCCUUUGUAAUUUCCAUGAGUGCAAUUGCCCUUUGCAGCGCCUCCUGCCUUAUCCUUGCCGUUUUGGGGUUUGCAACAAGGAAUUGCAUGGUGCAAUGCGCCGUUUUCUUUGCUUUUUGCUUUUUCCACUCCCUGGGCAAAGAAAACCCUUUUUUUUUGGUGAACGUGAUGCCUUAAAUCCCAUUUUACGGCUCCAUCGCACCAGCAUCGUCCGUUGUCUCCCUCGCAGCAACGGGAGGGCCGUGUCUGCUGGCAAAUGCAGCCGCCGGGUGCUGGGAAGGUGCAUUUUGCUCCAGGAUAAAAACGAGAAGUUGCUGUCGUGCAACGGGCGAUUCCCAGUCCGGGUGGCUUUUGGCAACGGCGCCAGGAAACAGGUGGAAAAACUGCAGAUUCAGGUCGGCUGCGGUGCUCCCCUCGCUGCCCGCUCCCCAGCCCCGAGAGCCGGCGGCACCCGGACACGGCGGCUUUUUAAGCUCGUUUUGGGGGGCUGGAUUUGCAGAAACGGAAAGGCGGCAGCAUCCGGGGGGUGGAGAAAUGCGGUGGGAAAUAGCAAGAAAAAGAAAAAAAAAAAAUGAUUCAGAGUGGCCUAGCAAUGACAUUGGCCAACAGGGGCUCCACCACCACAACCAUAAGCACCAGCAUCUUUCGCGCAGUAGUAGGUGGCGGUGUCGUCGGUCUUGAGGCUGUUCAUCUGCAGGUAGAGCGUGCUCUGGGCGUUGUCCCUGGAGAUGGUGAAGCGCCCUUUCACCGCAUCCGCGUAGCUUGGAUAGCUACCAUCGUCGUCAAUACCUGCGACGUACUCGAGCCCCUUCCCGGGCGCCUGUCGGAUCCAGUACAUGUAGGAGCUGCUGCAGGUUUCAGCAAUGGUCCCCAUCGGGGGGAAACCCUGGAGCCGGGAACGGAGGGGUUGGUCUGUGGCCAGGGCUGCGGGCRGACGUGCAGCUGAUCGAG
This is a long non-coding RNA of Apteryx haastii (Great spotted kiwi), 2099 nucleotides long. Lineage: Eukaryota; Metazoa; Chordata; Aves; Apterygiformes; Apterygidae. The record is from Ensembl.